RNAcentral lists this ribosomal RNA (114 nucleotides) under Pteropus alecto (black flying fox). The record is from RNAcentral. Lineage: Eukaryota; Metazoa; Chordata; Mammalia; Chiroptera; Pteropodidae.
AUCUAUGGCCAUGUCACCCUGAACAUGCCAGAUCUCAUCUGAUCUCGGAAGCAAGGUCGGGCCUGGUUAGUACUUGGAUGAGAAACCACCUUGGAAUACCAGGUGCUGUAGGCG